GAGGGUAUAGCUCAAGUGGUAGAGUGCUUGUUUAGCAUGCUUGAGGUCCUGGGUUCAAUCCCCAGUACCUCCU
Molecule: transfer RNA, 73 nt
Filed under: Camelus bactrianus (Bactrian camel)
Lineage: Eukaryota; Metazoa; Chordata; Mammalia; Artiodactyla; Camelidae
Also listed under: 1 other name
Rfam family: tRNA
About the family: Transfer RNA (tRNA) molecules are approximately 80 nucleotides in length.
Source: Rfam by way of RNAcentral